RNAcentral lists this ribosomal RNA (497 nucleotides) under uncultured bacterium. RNAcentral's name for it is "partial 16S ribosomal RNA". It matches the Rfam family "Bacterial small subunit ribosomal RNA", at positions 28 to 507 of the family's 1533-position model. The record is from RNAcentral.
GAUGAACGCUGGCGGCGUGCCUAAUACAUGCAAGUCGAGCGAACAGAUGAGGAGCUUGCUCCUCUGACGUUAGCGGCGGACGGGUGAGUAACACGUGGAUAACCUACCUAUAAGACUGGGAUAACUUCGAGAAACCGGAGCUAAUACCGGAUAAUAUAUUGAACCGCAUGGUUCAAUAGUGAAAGACGGUUUUGCUGUCACUUAUAGAUGGAUCCGCGCCGCAUUAGCUAGUUGGUAAGGUAACGGCUUACCAAGGCAACGAUGCGUAGCCGACCUGAGAGGGUGAUCGGCCACGCUGGAACUUGGACACGGUCCAGACUACUGCGGGAGGCAGCAGUAGGGAAUCUUCCGCAAUGGGCGGAAGCCUGACGGAGCAACGCCGCGUGAGUGAUGAAGGUCUUCGGAUCGUAAAACUCUGUUAUUAGGGAAGAACAAAUGUGUAAGUAACGAUGCACGUCUUGACGGUACCUAAUCAGAAAGCCACGGCUAACUACGUG